RNAcentral lists this ribosomal RNA (611 nucleotides) under Hepatozoon sp. JPM-2014. RNAcentral's name for it is "bacterial SSU rRNA". It matches the Rfam family "Eukaryotic small subunit ribosomal RNA", at positions 311 to 915 of the family's 1831-position model. The record is from RNAcentral. Lineage: Eukaryota; Apicomplexa; Hepatozoidae.
CCUAUCAGCUUUCGACGGUAUGGUAUUGGCUUACCGUGGCAGUGACGGUUAACGGGGGAUUAGGGUUCGAUUCCGGAGAGGGAGCCUGAGAAACGGCUACCACAUCUAAGGAAGGCAGCAGGCGCGCAAAUUACCCAAUUCUAACAGUUUGAGAGAGGUAGUAACAAGAAAUAACAAUACAAGGCAGUUAAAAUGCUUUGUAAUUGGAAUGAUAGAAAUUUAAACCCUUUUUAAAGUAUCAAUUGGAGGGCAAGUCUGGUGCCAGCAGCCGCGGUAAUUCCAGCUCCAAUAGCGUAUAUUAAAAUUGUUGCAGUUAAAAAGCUCGUAGUUGAAGUUCUGCUAAAAGUAACCGGUCUGCUUUUAAUAAAAGUGGUAUCUUGGUGUGUAUUUAGCAAUGAUGUCCUUUGAAGUGUUUUUUACUUUAUUGUAAUAAAGCAUAUUCAGGACUUUUACUUUGAGAAAAUUAGAGUGUUUCUAGCAGGCUGACGCUUUGAAUACUGCAGCAUGGAAUAAUAAGAUAGGAUUUUAGUUCUACAUUAUUGGUUUUAAGAGCUAAAUUAAUGAUUGAUAGGGACAGUUGGGGGCAUUUGUAUUUAACUGUCAGAGGUGAA